CUGUAAACAACUUGUUGCUUCAUUAUUGGCUAGAUUGAAGUUGGAAACAACUUGUAGCUUCAUUCCAGACUCGUUUGAAUUUGAAAACAACUUGUAGGUUCAUUUUCGGUUGUUUAAAAUUAGAAUCAACUUGUAGUUUCAUUCUUGACUCGUUUGAGCCCGGAAACAACUUGUUGCUUUAUUAUUGGCUAGAUGGAAUUUGGAAACAACUUGUAGCUUCAUUCCAGACUCGUUUGAAGUUGAAAACAACUUGUAGCUUCAUUUUCGGUUGUUUAAAAUUAGAAUCAACUUGUAGUUUCAUUCUUGACUUGUUUAAGCAUGUAAACAACUUGUUGCUUCAUUAUUGGCUAGAUUGAAGUUGGAAACAACUUGUAGCUUCAUUCCAGACUCGUUUGAAGUUUAAAACAACUUGUAGCUUCAUUUUCGGUUGAUUAAAUGAAAAUCAACUUGUAGUUUCAUUCUUGACUCGUUUGAGCUCGGAAACAACUUGUUGCUUCAUUCCAGACUCGUUUGAAGUUGAAAACAACUUGUAGCUUCAUUUUCGGUUGAUUAAAUGAAAAUCAACUUGUAGGUUCAUUCUUGACUCGUUUGAGCUCGGAAACAACUUGUUGCUUCAUUCCAGACUCGUUUGAAGUUGAAAACAACUUGUAGCUUCAUUUUCGGUUGAUUAAAUGAAAAUCAACUUGUAGGUUCAUUCUUGACUCGUUUGAGCCUGUAAACAACUUGUCGCUUCAUUAUUGUCUAGAUUGAAGUUGGAAACGCUUCAUUAUUGUCUAGAUUGAAGUUGGGAACAACUUGUAGCUUCAUUCUAGACUCGUUUAAAGUUGAAAACAACUUGUUGCUUCAUUAUUGGCUAGAUUGAAGUUGGAACCAACUUAUAGCUUCAUUCUAGACUCGUUUAAAGUUGAAAACAACUUGUAGCUUCAUUUUCUGUUGUUUAAAAUUAAAAUCAACUUGUAGUAUCAUUCUUGACUCGUUUGAGACCGGAAACAACUUGUUGCUUCAUUAUUGGCUAGAUUGAAGUUGGAAACAACUUGUAGCUUCAUUCCAGACUCGUUUGAAGUUGAAAACAACUUGUAGCUUCAUUUUCGGUUGUUUAAAAUUAGAAUCAACUUGUAGUUUCAUUCUUGGCUCGUUUGAGAUCGGAAAUAACUUGUUGCUUCAUUUUCGGUUGUUUAAAAUUAGAAUGAACUUGUAGUUUUAUUCUGGACUCAUUUGAGCCUCUAAACAACUUGUUGCUUCAUUAUUGGCUAUAUUGAAGUUGGAAACAACUUGUACCUUCAUUCCAGACUCGUUUGAAGUUGAAAAAUUUGUAGCUUCAUUUUCGGUUGUUUAAAUUUAGAAUCAACUU
This 1351-nucleotide long non-coding RNA is filed under the name Daucus carota (carrot). RNAcentral's name for it is "long non-coding RNA (DCAR_LNC007067)". Lineage: Eukaryota; Viridiplantae; Streptophyta; Magnoliopsida; Apiales; Apiaceae. The record is from RNAcentral.